GUCCACGCUGUAAACGAUGAUCACUCGUUGUUGGCGAUAAACAGCCAGCGACUGAGCGAAAGCAUUAAGUGAUCCACCUGGGGAGUACGGUCGCAAGACUGAAACUCAAAGGAAUUGACGGGGGCCCGCACAAGCGGAGGAACAUGUGGUUUAAUUCGAUGAUACGCGAGGAACCUUACCUGGGCUUAAAAUGUAGAACGACGUUCCGGGAAAAUCGGAAUUCCCUUCGGGGCGUUUUGCAAGGUGCUGCAUGGUUGUCGU
RNAcentral lists this ribosomal RNA (261 nucleotides) under uncultured bacterium. Its description in RNAcentral is "partial 16S ribosomal RNA". It matches the Rfam family "Bacterial small subunit ribosomal RNA", at positions 793 to 1055 of the family's 1533-position model. The record is from RNAcentral.